AAAGAGACAAUUGAAAUAUGAAAAGAGACAUUCUCACUGUUGGCACUCAAAAUACUUUCCUCAUCUCUUCUUCUUGUAGCUGUCCCCACUUGCAAGUUGUGGAGAUUACGUUCCCACCUUGGCCCUCCCAAUGUUAACAUCGUGGCUCCGCCGGUACUCUUUUCUCUUGACUCACGCAAGGCACCAGUCUGCCUAAAGUCUCUAUGACGUAGUCUUCCAUUUGUGGCCAGAAGCACUAUGAAAUUGGCAUCGAUGAGCUAAGACUCUCGUGUACUAGCGAGGUCUCAUGGGAGGUAGGGGCUCUAAGAUUCUUUGAUUUUCAAUAUGGCUAAGGAUAUAAGCAUAUGAAGCAGCAAGAGUCUAAGUCUCAAAUCUGUUGUAAGGUGCUCUCUCCACUUGUCCUUUAUGUUGUUGGCGUUGACUAUUAUCUCUACCAGUCAUUUGAUGCAGGGGGAAUUGUUAGAAGCGGAGAAACGUUACCCCCACCACCCCCCCCCCCCCCAAAGUUUAUGUUAGAGUGAAGGUUUCUCCUUUGAUGUUCAUGUAGAGAGGGCAACCCUUGCGCGGGCUAUUAAAUCUAUAGGGGGAGGAGGGUUGGAAAAAGCUCUAGAUGGCUAUACAUUUACCCCUUGAAGCCUUUUUUUGUAAAGGGUGAAAAGUCUGUCUGGUUGAUCAUUUAUCAAUGUAUACUUGAGGUGUUCAUGAUCUACACCUACAAUGAACGCCUAAAUGGCCCAUUCAUCUGCUAGACCUUUAACCCUCAUUGUUGUUGCGCUAAAUCUACGAAUAAAUCCCUUAGAUGUUUACCA
Gossypium arboreum is the source of this 809-nucleotide long non-coding RNA. RefSeq lists it as uncharacterized. The record is from RefSeq and is a predicted model, not a curated record. Lineage: Eukaryota; Viridiplantae; Streptophyta; Magnoliopsida; Malvales; Malvaceae. The transcript is spliced from 2 exons.